Molecule: small nuclear RNA, 296 nt
Filed under: Callithrix jacchus (white-tufted-ear marmoset)
Lineage: Eukaryota; Metazoa; Chordata; Mammalia; Primates; Cebidae
Description: 7SK RNA
Rfam family: 7SK RNA
About the family: 7SK was discovered as an abundant small nuclear RNA in the mid-70s but a possible function has only recently been suggested. Two independent studies have found that 7SK RNA binds the CDK9/cyclin T complex (known as elongation factor P-TEFb).
Source: Rfam by way of RNAcentral
GGCUAUGAUGGCAACCAGGAUGCUCCAUUGAUCAUGAGGGUUAAUUUGGCUGAUUGGACAAGCUAGGUGGGCACCUCCUUCCUCCCUCACCAUGCCACGUGCAGCCCUCCUGAAGCUGUGUGCUCCAUGGAAGAGGACAGCCACACCCAAGGAGAACUGGUCUUCUGUCAAGGAUAUAGGAAUAGCUGUUUUCUCCUGCUAGAAUCUCCAAACAAGUACUCAAACUUUGUAGUCAAGCUCCCAAGACUACAGACACAUCCAAAUGAGGUGUGGCAUGUGGCAGUCUACCUUUAAAG